Long non-coding RNA from Triticum dicoccoides, 217 nucleotides. RefSeq lists it as uncharacterized. NCBI's taxonomy places the organism in Eukaryota, Viridiplantae, Streptophyta, Magnoliopsida, Poales, Poaceae. The record is from RefSeq and is a predicted model, not a curated record. The transcript has 3 exons.
GUUGACAACCCUUAUGUCCCUAAUAAUGGAUGCCAAGAUAUUGAUGAGUGCAAGCAACCUGAAUUGUAUCCUUGCUCAAAUGGCGGGAUCUGCAAAAACAAGGUGGGAGGCUAUGAAUGUCAAUGCAAAUUCGGAAAGAAAGGGGACGGCAAAGGGCGAAGCUGCAGACAUGUGUUCACUCCCCAAGCAGAGGGGGCUGUCGGUAAAUGGUUCCAGC